GGGGGCGUUAUUGGUUUCGACGGGGAGCAUUGGUCAAAAUGUAAAGCAUGUGGUGGACGUUCUUACACCUAAAAGAAGGACAGCGAAAAUAAACGCAAACAACAAUGUAGUUCGUAUGGGCACUCCUAGCCUUGCUAUGGCUGCCUAAUCGGACAAAAAAUCUUUAAGACUGACAAUUUCGGUCUAACUCGAAUAUAAUCUCACCAAAUUAUAUUAUGAGUUCAUAAAAACGGUGCUCUGUAAGUAAUCUCGUCUAAAAUUGCUUAUAAAAACAAGACUAUGCUGUUAAAAUUUUGUUUAUGUUAUGUUUAACAGCGAAAAUUUAACAUAAACUAAACAUGUAGAAAAAUUUUGAACAAGUUUUUCGGAAGCGGGUUCAAUUCCCGCCGUCUCCACCA
This 398-nucleotide transfer-messenger RNA is filed under the name chicken gut metagenome. It matches the Rfam family "transfer-messenger RNA". From Rfam's summary of the family: Bacterial tmRNA, also known as 10Sa RNA or SsrA, is named for its dual tRNA and mRNA-like properties. Its role is to liberate the mRNA from a stalled ribosome. To accomplish this part of the tmRNA is used as a reading frame that ends in a translation stop signal. The record is from RNAcentral.